GACGAACGCUGGCGGCGUGCUUAACACAUGCAAGUCGAACGAAAAGGCGCCAGCUUGCUGGGGUACUCGAGUGGCGAAGGGGGGUGUGACACGCGGGGGAACUCCCCUUCACUGUGGGGUAAACCUUGGGAACUGGGGCUAAUAUAGGGUAGGAUCGUGCUAUAGUGUGUGUGGAGGAAAGUUUGUCGGUUUAGGAUGAGCCGGCGGCCUAUCACCUGGUGGGUGAGGUAAUGGGCUACCAAGCGGGAGACGGGUAGCCGGCCUUGGAGCGUGUACGGCCACCUUGGGACUGAGGCACGGCCCAGACGCCUACGGGCGGCAGCGGUGGGGAACAUUGCGCAAUGGGCGCACGCCUGAUGCAGCGACGCUGCGUGCGUGAUGACGGCCUUCGGGUUGUAAACCCCUUUCUGCAGGGACGAAGCUUUUGUGACGGUACCUACAUAAGAAGCACCGGCUAACUACGUG
RNAcentral lists this ribosomal RNA (465 nucleotides) under uncultured bacterium. RNAcentral describes it as "partial 16S ribosomal RNA". It matches the Rfam family "Bacterial small subunit ribosomal RNA", at positions 28 to 507 of the family's 1533-position model. The record is from RNAcentral.